RNAcentral lists this ribosomal RNA (253 nucleotides) under uncultured bacterium. RNAcentral describes it as "partial 16S ribosomal RNA". It matches the Rfam family "Bacterial small subunit ribosomal RNA", at positions 524 to 776 of the family's 1533-position model. The record is from RNAcentral.
UCCGGAGGGAGCUAGCGUUGUUCGGAAUUACUGGGCGUAAAGCGCGCGUAGGCGGCUUUGUAAGUUAGAGGUGAAAGCCCGGAGCUCAACUCCGGAACUGCCUUUAAGACUGCAUCGCUUGAAUCCAGGAGAGGUGAGUGGAAUUCCGAGUGUAGAGGUGAAAUUCGUAGAUAUUCGGAAGAACACCAGUGGCGAAGGCGACUCACUGGACAUGUAUUGACGCUGAGGUGCGAAAGCGUGGGGAGCAAACAGG